Molecule: ribosomal RNA, 433 nt
Filed under: uncultured bacterium
Lineage: Bacteria
Description: partial 16S ribosomal RNA
Rfam family: Bacterial small subunit ribosomal RNA
Source: RNAcentral
AACGAACGCUGGCGGCAGGCCUAACACAUGCAAGUCGAGCGAGGACUUCGGUUCUAGCGGCGGACGGGUGAGUAACGCGUGGGAAUGUGCCCUUCUCUACGGAAUAGCCCUGGGAAACUGGGAGUAAUACCGUAUACGCCCUAUUGGGGAAAGAUUUAUCGGAGAAGGAUCAGCCCGCGUUGGAUUAGGUAGUUGGUGGGGUAAUGGCCUACCAAGCCGACGAUCCAAAGCUGGUUUGAGAGGAUGAUCAGCCACACUGGGACUGAGACACGGCCCAGACUCCUACGGGAGGCAGCAGUGGGGAAUCUUAGACAAUGGGGGCAACCCUGAUCUAGCCAUGCCGCGUGAGUGAUGAAGGCCUUAGGGUUGUAAAGCUCUUUCAGCUGGGAAGAUAAUGACGGUACCAGCAGAAGAAGCCCCGGCUAACUCCGUG